RNAcentral lists this ribosomal RNA (859 nucleotides) under Variovorax sp. RNAcentral describes it as "bacterial SSU rRNA". It matches the Rfam family "Bacterial small subunit ribosomal RNA", at positions 49 to 903 of the family's 1533-position model. Lineage: Bacteria; Pseudomonadati; Pseudomonadota; Betaproteobacteria; Burkholderiales; Comamonadaceae. The record is from RNAcentral.
AAAAGCAUGCAAGUCGAACGGCAGCGCGGGAGCAAUCCUGGCGGCGAGUGGCGAACGGGUGAGUAAUACAUCGGAACGUGCCCAAUCGUGGGGGAUAACGCAGCGAAAGCUGUGCUAAUACCGCAUACGAUCUACGGAUGAAAGCAGGGGAUCGCAAGACCUUGCGCGAAUGGAGCGGCCGAUGGCAGAUUAGGUAGUUGGUGAGGUAAAGGCUCACCAAGCCUUCGAUCUGUAGCUGGUCUGAGAGGACGACCAGCCACACUGGGACUGAGACACGGCCCAGACUCCUACGGGAGGCAGCAGUGGGGAAUUUUGGACAAUGGGCGCAAGCCUGAUCCAGCCAUGCCGCGUGCAGGAUGAAGGCCUUCGGGUUGUAAACUGCUUUUGUACGGAACGAAACGGCCUUUUCUAAUAAAGAGGGCUAAUGACGGUACCGUAAGAAUAAGCACCGGCUAACUACGUGCCAGCAGCCGCGGUAAUACGUAGGGUGCAAGCGUUAAUCGGAAUUACUGGGCGUAAAGCGUGCGCAGGCGGUUAUGUAAGACAGUUGUGAAAUCCCCGGGCUCAACCUGGGAACUGCAUCUGUGACUGCAUAGCUAGAGUACGGUAGAGGGGGGAUGGAAUUCCGCGUGUAGCAGUGAAAUGCGUAGAUAUGCGGAGGAACACCGAUGGCGAAGGCAAUCCCCUGGACCUGUACUGACGCUCAUGCACGAAAGCGUGGGGAGCAAACAGGAUUAGAUACCCUGGUAGUCCACGCCCUAAACGAUGUCAACUGGUUGUUGGGUCUUCACUGACUCAGUAACGAAGCUAACGCGUGAAGUUGACCGCCUGGGGAGUACGGCCGCAAGGUGAAACCUCA